Molecule: long non-coding RNA, 1680 nt
Filed under: Lytechinus variegatus (green sea urchin)
Lineage: Eukaryota; Metazoa; Echinodermata; Echinoidea; Temnopleuroida; Toxopneustidae
Description: uncharacterized LOC121406231
Source: RNAcentral
GGAUGGAUUUCCAUGUAGCUCAGGUUGAUCGGAUCAAUAGUAACUCUAUAGAAAUCCAUCAGUGUCAUAAUUUCUUCUACGGGACAAUUUGUCAGGUUGGUGCAAGAACACCCUUAACACCACACUUUUGCGCAUAUGGUGUGCUAAAAAAACACACCCUUAGCAGCACGCUUAAGUGCAUGUGCAUGAAGGCGUUUCUGUACUGAUUUAAUGCUAAAAAAUGUUUUGAUAAGGGUGUCCUUGCACCGACUUGACAAAUUCAGCUUGGAGACAUUUUGUUCUCCCAAUUCAGCAUAGGCUAGUUCUGUGACACUCAAAUUAGUACUAAUAGUAAUAGAUUUUGAACUUUUGUGUGAACUUUUCAUAAUGGCUAUUAAAAAGAAGUCUAGAUGUUUUGAAUAAACUGGAGAAAAAAAGUGAACCCAGUUUCCUGCCUUUUGUUAUGCACCUAGACUGUAAGAAAGCAUUGUUGAUAAUAUGUAGUUAUUACCCAUACAGUGUGUUAUAUACUGGUUCAUAAAUAUGUAUUUAUCCUAUCUCAAUUUCUGAUGGGCAGUACACAGAUAAUAUUGUAUUGUACAUGUGUGAGUCAAAAUUUUGCUGUGUGAUGAAAUUAAUUGUACCUUUUGAUAAAAGUAUUAUCUGUAUGUGUUAUUGAUUAUUCAUUAAUUAUUCUUAAUUCUCGCAUUACCUGUUGAGAUUCUCACUUGUUUUUAUGUAAAAUUGUUGAUAUUCUAAAUAAAUCAUAAAUAUUUGUCCAUUCACCUGUUAAGAUCAUGUAGUCUCAAAUCUACAGUACUUUUCUCUGAAGUUCAUCCUGUCAUCUUUCUGUUAAUGAUCUUAAAUGAAUGAUGUGCAAUGAUCGUUCUUUAGCUUUCUGCUAGUUCUUUCUUACAUUCUUUUUUUUUAUUCUUAUAACGGAAGCUGAUGAUUUUAUACAAUUUGAAUUUUUGUAGAUAUCAUUGUUAAAUUAUAUUAGUAUAAUUUGUAAUGUAAUGGUUUCAUUGUUAAUUUAUUUCCUUGUGUGUUUGAUUAGUUUAGUUGAUUUAUAAUUUUAACAAAUCUCAUUCCUUCUCUUCCAUUUGGAAGAGAGGUGUGAAAUAAAUGAAUCUGAAUCUUUUCUUCUCUUUACCGGUAUCUAAAAGUUUACUUUUGAAUAUAAUCAGAAAGUCUUUACUUUUGAAUAUAAUCAGCAUUUUUUCCGGGAGUGGGGGGGGGGGUACAUAAACCCUGUACAAUAGAUGUCAACAUAUUAAAGGUUUGGUAGUCUGAUAUACAGUAUGCUCUUUAGUCAACAUACACAAUACAUUACACCUGUAAAGCCCUUUUAACCCUGGACAUUAGUUGUCAAUGGACAUGUAUUAUGGCUUAGCCAUCUGAUAUACAGUGUGCUCUAUAGUCAGCAUACACAAUAUAUUACACUGUAAAGACCUUUAACCCUGUACAUAAGGUGUCAAUGUAUUAAGUUUUAGCAGUCUGGGGUGUUAAUACUAACACCAGUUGGUGUCCCUAUAGGACCACACCCAAAGGUGUUGUAAUAGCACCCAAAGGUGUUUGACUAACACCAACUAAUUAACACUUGAUUAGAAUGACUGUGGUCCUGUAUUUACACAAAUCGACACCGCAUCUUUCGCUGUGUAGGUGUCGAUUCAUGUUUUGAAAAAAAAAUAAUGUACUGAA